UGGUAGUCCAUGCCGUAAACGAUGAUUACUAGGUGUGGGGGGUCUGACCCCUUCCGUGCCGGAGUUAACACAAUAAGUAAUCCACCUGGGGAGUACGCCGCAAGGUUGAAACUCAAAGGAAUUGACGGGGGCCCGCACAAGCAGUGGAGUAUGUGGUUUAAUUCGAAGCAACGCGAAGAACCUUACCAGGUCUUGACAUCCAACUAACGAGGCAGAGAUGCAUUAGGUGCCCUUCGGGGAAAGUUGAGACAGGUGGUGCAUGGUUGUCGUCAGCUCGUGUCGUGAGAUGUUGGGUUAAGUCCCGCAACGAGCGCAACCCUUGUGAUUAGUUGCUACGCAAGAGCACUCUAAUCAGACUGCCGUUGACAAAACGGAGGAAGGUGGGGACGACGUCAAAUCAUCAUGCCCCUUAUGACCUGGGCUACACACGUACUACAAUGGUCGCUAACAGAGGGAAGCCAAGCCGCGAGGUGGAGCAAACCCCCAAAAGCGAUCUCAGUUCGGAUUGUAGGCUGCAACCCGCCUACAUGAAGUUGGAAUUGCUAGUAAUCGCGGAUCAGCAUGCCGCGGGUGAAUACGUUCCCGGGCCUUGUACACACCGCCCGUCACACCAUGGGAGCCGGUAAUACCCGAAGCCAAUAGUCAAAC
Molecule: ribosomal RNA, 648 nt
Filed under: Clostridiales bacterium KC3
Lineage: Bacteria; Bacillati; Bacillota; Clostridia; Eubacteriales
Description: bacterial SSU rRNA
Rfam family: Bacterial small subunit ribosomal RNA
Source: RNAcentral